ACAUGUUCCAUUGGCAAGCAACAAUCAUGGGGCCUACGGAUAGCCCUUAUGCAGGGGGUGUAUUCUUGGUUUCUAUUCAUUUUCCUCCUGAUUAUCCGUUCAAGCCACCUAAGGUUGCAUUUCGAACUAAGGUUUUCCACCCUAACAUCAAUAGCAACAGAAGCAUUUGUCUGGAUAUUCUUAAAGAGCAGUGGAGUCCAGCAUUGACCAUAUCUAAGGUCCUGUUGUCCAUCUGCUCUCUAUUGACAGACCCAAAUCCAGACGAUCCUCUUGUACCGGAAAUUGCUCAUAUGUACAAGACUGACAGGUCCAAAUAUGAGGCCACUGCUCGUAGCUGGGCACAGAAAUAUGCUAUGGGAUAAUAGCGAAAGUGUCACUGGGCAUGUCAGAGACUUUUGUAGCUGCACCGUCUUAAUUGUGCUUGGGUGAAAGAAUAAAAU
This is an RNA transcript of Nicotiana attenuata, 440 nucleotides long. It is a transcript of the gene named ubiquitin-conjugating enzyme E2-17 kDa pseudogene, with no coding region annotated. The record is from RefSeq and is a predicted model, not a curated record. NCBI's taxonomy places the organism in Eukaryota, Viridiplantae, Streptophyta, Magnoliopsida, Solanales, Solanaceae. The transcript has a single exon.